Molecule: ribosomal RNA, 261 nt
Filed under: uncultured bacterium
Lineage: Bacteria
Description: partial 16S ribosomal RNA
Rfam family: Bacterial small subunit ribosomal RNA
Source: RNAcentral
CGACCGGCGCACGGGUGAGUAACACGUAUCCAACCUGCCGAUAACUCGGGGAUAGCCUUUCGAAAGAAAGAUUAAUAUCCGAUAGCAUAUCAAGAUCGCAUGAUCUUGAUAUUAAAGAAUUUCGGUUAUCGAUAGGGAUGCGUUCCAUUAGUUAGUUGGCGGGGUAACGGCCCACCAAGACGACGAUGGAUAGGGGUUCUGAGAGGAAGGUCCCCCACAUUGGAACUGAGACACGGUCCAAACUCCUACGGAAGGCAGCAG